AUGGCCUCCCCCUCCCGCCCGGCGCUCCCUCCCCACCUCCGCCUCCUCUCGCCGCGCCAGCUCCCGCCUCUCCGCCCGCCUCGACGUCGCGGCGCGCGCAGCCGCGUCCUCUCCGCGCUCCCCUCCCCGUCCCCGUCCCCGCCCUCGCAGCAGCGCGUCUCCACCGCCUCGCUCGAGCACGGUCCCGGGCCCGGCCCCUCCGCUGCCGAGCAGCAGCCGCGGCCACACGACCAGGCGCUCGCCGCGGAGGUCGCGCGGCUCUCCGCGGCCCGCGCGCGCCUCCGCGCGGCGCGCACCCUCGGCGACAAGCUCCGCGCGCUCGACGCCGAGCCCCGCGUCGCGGCCUUCUUCGGCGACGCGUCCAGCCGCGGGGUCCUGGGCGGCCUCCGGCCCCGGGAGGCGUACCUGCUCAAAUGCCUCGUCGCGGCCGGCCAGGACCACGUGCUCGGCGCGGAGCUCGGCUGGGCCGGCGCCGGCGGCCACGAGCGCCACCGCAAUGGGGGCGGUGGCGGGAGCGCGCUGAGGGAGGCGCUGUACAGCCUGGCCGAUCUGGUCGGGAGGUGGAGCGAGGAGGGAGCGGCGGACGACGAGGCUGGGAGCGGGGAGACGGAGCUGCUGCUCGGACGGCUGCUCAAGUUUCUCGGAGACAUCGAGGAGUUCUACGACUGCGUUGGAGGCAUCAUCGGCUACCAAAUUAUGGCGUUGGAGCUGCUCUCGGUCUCCAAGUCCAAGGACAGCAAGCACCGGCAUAGCAAAGACAAGUUUGUCGACUUCCAUGUUCCCACCGGACUUAAUCUAUUGGAGGAUACAGAAUAUGCAUCUCAAGCUGCCCUGUGGGGAAUCGAGGGUUUGCCAGAACUUGGUGAAAUUUAUCCAAUUGGUGGUGCCGGUGACCGUCUUGGUUUAAUGGACUCAGAUACCGGUGAAUCCCUUCCUGCCGCAUUGCUUCCUUACUGUGGAAGAUCUCUAUUGGAAGGACUGAUGCGUGAUCUGCAGGCUAGAGAGUUUCUCCAUUUUAAGAUCUUUGGGAAACAAUGUAUAACCCCUGUGGCGGUCAUGACAAGCUCUGUGAAGAAUAACCAUGAACAUAUAGUUGCCAUCUGUGAAAGACUUGAAUGGUUUGGUAGAGGCCGUGAGAACUUCCGCUUGUUUGAACAGCCUUUGGUGCCUGUAGUAAAUGCUGAAGAUGGCAAAUGGUUAAUCAGCGAGUCACUUCUCCCUGUGGGUAAACCCGGUGGUCAUGGCGCUAUUUGGAAGCUUGCUUGCGAUCGAGGUGUAUUUGAAUGGCUUUAUCGUCAUGGCAGAAAAGGUGCAACUGUUCGUCAAGUCAGCAAUGUUGUUGCUGCAACUGAUUUGACGCUGAUGGCAUUGGCUGGAAUAGGCCUGCGUCACAAUAAGAAAUUAGGUUUUGCAUCUUGUGAGCGAAGACCAGGUGCUACGGAAGGGGUGAAUGUUCUUAUUGAAAAACAAAACCUUGAUGGGCUCUGGGAAUAUGGUAUCACUUGCAUUGAGUACACUGAAUUUGAAAAAUACGGCAUAUCAGAACCUACAGCAACGAAUGGCAGUUUGCAGGCUAGCUAUCCAGCAAAUACAAACAUUCUAUAUGUUGACCUGCAAGCAGCGCAGGAAGUUGGAUCACGCAAAAAUGCUAGCUGCCUACCAGGAAUCGUGCUAAAUUUGAAGAAGGCAGUAUCAUAUGUGGAUCAUCUGGGCUUUGAGUGUAGCGCUGCGGGUGGCAGGCUAGAAUGCACAAUGCAAAACAUAGCAGAUAAUUUUAUGAACACAUAUAGCUACAGGUGCAGCAAAGGAAUAGAAAGUGAGCUCGACACGUUCAUUGUGUACAAUGAAAGGAAAAAGGUUACUUCAUCAGCUAAAAGGAAGCUGAAAUCAGAAGACAGAUCAUUGCACCAGACUCCAGAGGGUUCACUCCUCGACAUUAUGCGCAAUGCUCAUGAUCUCCUUUCUAGCUGCAGCAUAGAGGUUCCAGAGGUGAAAGACAAUAAUGAGUACUUGCAUUCCGGACUACCAUUCAUCAUAUUUCUUCAUCCUGCUUUAGGACCAUUUUGGGAUAUCGUAAAGCAAAAGUUCAUAGGUGGCUCCAUCUCUAAAGGUUCAGAAUUGCAAAUAGAGGUGGCAGAAUUUCUAUGGCAAGAUGUUGAGCUGGAUGGGAGCCUUAUUAUUCUAGCUGAUAACAUUAUGGGUUCAACAAAGAGGAACACUGAUGGUGAACAAGUACUACACUACGGAGCCAGGUAUGGGAGAUGCAAGCUGCAAAAUGUUAAAAUUGUGAACGAAGGGAUCAGCUGGGAUUCUCCCAGUAAUGUCUAUUGGCAGCACCAUGUUGAAAGAUCAGAAUCUCUAAAGAUUAUUCUUCAUGGAAAUGCAGAAUUUGAGGCGAAAGAUGUCGUCUUGAAGGGUAACCAUAUGUUUGAAGUACCCGAUGGUCAUAGAAUGUGCAUCAUUCAGGACGAAGCAGGUUUUACUGUUAAGUUAGAUCCUAUAAGCAAGGAAAUGAUGGACAGCGGAACGUGGUACUGGGAGUAUACGCUAGAUGGUGCGCAUGUGAAGUUGAAUAUGGUGGACCUAUGUGGAGAUGGUACCAACUGUAGAUUCUUGAUUCAUUGA
Molecule: ribosomal RNA, 2625 nt
Filed under: Triticum aestivum (bread wheat)
Lineage: Eukaryota; Viridiplantae; Streptophyta; Magnoliopsida; Poales; Poaceae
Description: partial small subunit ribosomal RNA
Source: RNAcentral